Lagenorhynchus albirostris (white-beaked dolphin) is the source of this 1529-nucleotide long non-coding RNA. RefSeq lists it as uncharacterized. The record is from RefSeq and is a predicted model, not a curated record. The transcript is spliced from 3 exons. Lineage: Eukaryota; Metazoa; Chordata; Mammalia; Artiodactyla; Delphinidae.
CCCUCCACCUACAUGAAGUUCCCUUUCAAGGUGUCUAUCAUUCUCUGGCCCCUUAAAUCUCUAACCCCCACCCGACCCCAGUUUCCUUCAAUUCUCCCCACUUUCGGAUCGCCUCGCCUCCUUUAGGGAGUUUCUCCAGUUCUCACGCUGUCUUCCCUUUCCCCUGCAUCGCGACUCCAAUCGUUUUUUGUCGCCCCUGACCCUUCGCCUUCCCCGUGACACCCCUGCAGCAGACGACCCUCUCGGCACAUCCUGCGCGUCCCAGGCCUCCCCACCGCCCCCGACCUCGGCUCUGUCCCUUCGCCCCGGGUCCCCGCUGUCCUCAACGCCAACUCUCCGCCGCUCCUUCCCGGUCCUCCCCCCGCGCCGGUCCACUCACAGGAGGCCGGAGCAGGUGGUGCAGACGAAGCUGCCCACGGUGAUAUCCACGUAGGUGACCCCGCGCUGGGCGCACUCGAAGCAGUGGCGGUUCCCGGCCUGGCUGCAGCCUCCCAGCUCCCGCACCCGGCGACACCACACCUCCGAGGCCGCCUCCGCCUCCGCCUUUCCCCCGCCGACCCCGCCACCCGGCCCUGGGCCCUUCUUCGCUGCCAUCACCAUGGCUGCUCAACCCCUCGGACCUCCUCCCUGCAAGUCAGGAAUCGCCCCUUCAACCACUGCCGCCUUCCCGCCUCCUCAACCGCCCCCGCACGCCCGGCUCCCCCGACAGAAGCUAGGGAGCCGGCGGCAGCCGCGCGAGACUCCUCAACCCCCUGCUUCUCCUGUCCUGCACGCUGAUUGGCUAGCCUCCUCCACCUCCUCACUCUGAUUGGCCCGGCAUUGGACGGCCUCGAGUUGCGGGAGCUGCCAACGCCACGCCCCACUGCCUUCAGACCUCAGGCCUCUCGGAUUGGGCUGCUGAGACCCUGGCUGCGAGAACUGUGCGUGCUCUCUCCUUGUUCCCGCCCCCUCUCGCCACUGCCUCCAGGGCUGACCGCCUCCCACACUCGAUUGCUGCACCAUGUGGCAAGCGGGAUCUUACUUCCCCGACCAGGGAUCCGAGCCCUCGUCCCCUGCAGUGGAAGCACGGAGUCUUAACCACUGGACCACCAGGGAUGUCCGGCUCACUGUACCUUGUCGGAGGAGUCCAGCUCUCUCCCUCUCCUACUCCUGGAGCACUGCCUGGUGUCGGCUCAGGUAUCUCACCUCCCUGAAUAGACUACAAGCUGCUUGAGGACAGGCUUCAGUCGGAACGUUCCUUCUGCAUCGGCGCACGGCCACGCACACAUCAGAUGCUCAAUUAGGGUUUGCUGAGUCACUGCACGGUGGCGUUCCCAAAGACUUUCCUCCAGCUCCACCUCUCCCUCUCACGUGCCAUAGUAACCCGCCCUGCACAACCUCUGGCUCCCACCAACCAGGGGCAAGAGUGAAAACGGGACGGGUAUAUGAAAGGCGGAGCGCACUGAAACAUAAGAAGCCAGUUCUAGGAUCGUUAGUCUUUUAAUAUAUUAUUCUGAAAAGAAAGGAAUUAAAAAAAAGUUCCUGACAUC